This 72-nucleotide transfer RNA is filed under the name Ovis aries (sheep). It matches the Rfam family "tRNA". From Rfam's summary of the family: Transfer RNA (tRNA) molecules are approximately 80 nucleotides in length. The record is from Rfam by way of RNAcentral. Lineage: Eukaryota; Metazoa; Chordata; Mammalia; Artiodactyla; Bovidae.
UCCCUGAUGGUCCAGUGGUUAGGACGCCAUGCUCCCAAUGUGGGGGCAUGGGUUCAAUCCCUGGUCAGGCAA